UGUUUACGUUUCCCAAGCUCUUCGUCUCAUCUCUUAGAUGGUAGAUUAGCAUUACUCAACCACUAGAUGCCCACGCGGAAAAUUCGGUUAUUCCGGAGAGUGUGGCGAUUUCUAUGCCAGAAAUCAAGUUAUGCUGGGUGUCAAGGCUGCAGUUGGGAAUUUUCUAGUUUAGAAGUGUAAAAGGCGUUGUUCCUCAUAU
Molecule: non-coding RNA, 199 nt
Organism: Caenorhabditis elegans
Lineage: Eukaryota; Metazoa; Nematoda; Chromadorea; Rhabditida; Rhabditidae
Source: Ensembl